This 402-nucleotide ribosomal RNA is filed under the name uncultured Anaerococcus sp. RNAcentral describes it as "bacterial SSU rRNA". It matches the Rfam family "Bacterial small subunit ribosomal RNA", at positions 355 to 776 of the family's 1533-position model. The record is from RNAcentral. Lineage: Bacteria; Bacillati; Bacillota; Tissierellia; Tissierellales; Peptoniphilaceae.
UGGGGAAUUUUGCACAAUGGGGGAAACCCUGAUGCAGCGACGCCGCGUGAUUUAGAAGGCCUUCGGGUUGUAAAAAUCUUUUAUAUGGGAAGAAAAUGACAGUACCAUAAGAAUAAGGUCCGGCUAAAUACGUGCCAGCAGCCGCGGUAAUACGUAUGGACCGAGCGUUGUCCGGAAUCAUUGGGCGUAAAGGGUACGUAGGCGGUCUUUUAAGUUAGAAGUGAAAUAAUAUAGCUCAACUAUAUACAGCUUUUAAAACUGAAAGACUUGAGAGAUGGAAGGGAAAGUGGAAUUCCUAGUGUAGCGGUGAAAUGCGCAGAUAUUAGGAAGAAUACCGGUGGCGAAGGCGACUUUCUGGUCAUCAUCUGACGCUGAGGUACGAAAGCGUGGGUAGCAAACAGG